NCCGCAGCACCGCCCCCGCCCCCUCGGCGAGCCUUUCUGCCGCCCCGAAAGCGCGAAAGGUGGUGCGUGCGCGGGCGGCAGGUGAUCUGGCGGAACUGCCGCGGGCGGCUCCCCUCCGCGCCCGCCCCGCGCGGUCCUCCCCAGGGGCGGCAGCUUUUUGGUUCGUGGCCGGAAGUCGUCGAACUGCGAUUGGAGGGACGGGCGGCCGGGGAGCGCGUUCUCCCGAACCACGAACGCUGGCGGGGUUGCUCUGGGUUCCUUUGUGGGUGCAGGAGGCAGGGAGACACUUACCCUUUUGCUCACGGGCCUGACUGCGCUCCAGAAGCCUGGUGGCCGCUCAUUCCAGCUUUUGCUGUGAAGAAAAAUCACCAUGGCUUCUUCCAGACUCGGGUUCUGUUUGGCUGCUUGUUUACUAAGUAUUUCAGAAGCCAGAAGAAAAUACAUUGUUGAGAACAUAGCAAAAGCAGCUCUUCUUGAAAGAAAUGGUAGGAAAACACAGUUGAUGUGAAUAUGUAUGAGUACAGUAGUUUUUGUAUUCUGCAGACAGUGCUAUAGAACAUUCUUUCUUCUUAGACUUUUCUCCUUGUUUUGAGGCUGUUAGAGCUUCCGCAGGACUCCGGGAUACUGAGAUAGAUCAGUUACUCAUGGGCACAUGUGCUCUUCCCAAAAGCCCACAUAAGCUCAGCAGUGCACUUAUUCACACGAGAGUGAGUGCCUGAGAUGAGCAUUGUUCAGGGGUUUAGGCUCCUGAGGAGGAUAUGUUUACAUAAAAGUUUAAUGUUUCCCUCAUGGGCCACUU
RNAcentral lists this long non-coding RNA (799 nucleotides) under Mustela putorius furo (domestic ferret). RNAcentral's name for it is "lncRNA (ENSMPUG00000027398.1)". Lineage: Eukaryota; Metazoa; Chordata; Mammalia; Carnivora; Mustelidae. The record is from RNAcentral.